CCGGAGAUAGCUGGUUCUCCGCGAAAACUAUUUAGGUAGUGCGUUAUAUAUUACUGCCGGGGGUAGAGCACUGGAUGGGCUAGGGGGGCGCGAGCCUUACCAAACCUAACCAAACUCCGAAUACCGGUAAGUACAGUAUAGCAGACAGUCCAUGGGUGCUAAGGUCCUUGGACGAGAGGGAAAGAGCCCAGACCACCAGCUAAGGUCCCUAAGUUAUGGCUAAGUGGGAAAGGAUGUGGGAAGGCCAAGACAGCCAGGAGGUUGGCUUAGAAGCAGCCAUCCUUUAAAGAAAGCGUAACAGCUCACUGGUCUAAAUAAGCCGGCCUGCGCCGAAGAUUUAACGGGGCUAAAGCCAUACACCGAAGCUGUGGAUGCCGAAAGGCAUGGUAGCGGAGCGUUCUGUAAGCCGUUGAAGGUGACACGCGAGUGUCAUUGGAGGUAUCAGAAGUGAGAAUGCUGACAUGAGUAGCGAUAAAGAGUGUGAGAAACACUCUCGCCGAAAGCCCAAGGGUUCCUGCGCAAGGUUAAUCCACGCAGGGUUAGUCGGCCCCUAAGAUAAGUGCGAAAGCAGUAGUCGAUGGGAACACGGUUAAUAUUCCGUGACCUGAUGGUAGUGACGGAUGGUAUAAGUUGUAAAUGCUUAACGGAUUGUGUUUGCAGCGAAGCCGUUCCAGGAAAUAGCUCCAUCAUUAAGACCGUACCCUAAACCGACACAGGUGGGCAGGUAGAGAAUACCAAGGCGCUUGGGAGAAUGAUGUUGAAGGAACUCGGCAAAAUGCACCCGUAACUUCGGGAUAAGGGUGGCCUGCUCUGGGCAACCAGAUGCAGGUAGCAUAAAAUAGGGGGUAGCGACUGUUUAUUAAAAACACAGGGCUCUGCGAAGUGGUAACACGACGUAUAGGGUCCGACGCCUGCCCGGUGCUGGAAGGUUAAGAGGAGUUGUGCAAGCAGCGAAUUGAAGCCCCAGUAAACGGCGGCCGUAACUAUAACGGUCCUAAGGUAGCGAAAUUCCUUGUCGGGUAAGUUCCGACCUGCACGAAUGGCGUAACGACUUCCCCGCUGUCUCCAACAUCAACUCAGCGAAAUUGAAUUCCCCGUGAAGAUGCGGGGUACCCGCGGUCAGACGGAAAGACCCCGUGCACCUUUACUAUAGCUUUGCAGUGGCAUUAGAAAGCCGAUGUGCAGGAUAGGUGGGAGGCUUGGAACUCAUAGCGCCAGCUGUGGGGGAGCCAUCCUUGAGAUACCACCCUUCUGCUUUCUGAUGUCUAACCGAGGCCAGUUUAUCCUGGUCCGGGACCCUGCAUGGUGGGUAGUUUGACUGGGGCGGUCGCCUCCUAAAUGGUAACGGAGGCGCGCGAUGGUAGGCUCAAACCGGUCGGACAUCGGUUGUUGAGUGCAAUGGCAUAAGCCUGCCUGACUGUGAGACUGACAAGUCG
This 1436-nucleotide ribosomal RNA is filed under the name marine metagenome. RNAcentral describes it as "bacterial LSU rRNA". It matches the Rfam family "Bacterial large subunit ribosomal RNA", at positions 839 to 2391 of the family's 2925-position model. The record is from RNAcentral.